Molecule: ribosomal RNA, 377 nt
Filed under: uncultured bacterium
Lineage: Bacteria
Description: bacterial SSU rRNA
Rfam family: Bacterial small subunit ribosomal RNA
Source: RNAcentral
UGGGGGAUAACGUAGCGAAAGUUACGCUAAUACCGCAUAUUCUGUGAGCAGGAAAGCAGGGGAUCGCAAGACCUUGCGCUGAUUGGGCGGCCGAGUCAGAUUAGCUAGUUGGUGAGGUAAAGGCUCACCAAGGCGACGAUCUGUAGCGGGGUCUGAGAGGAUGAUCCGCCACACUGGAACUGAGACACGGUCCAGACUCCUACGGGUAGGCAGCAGUGGGGAAUUUUGGACAAUUGGGGGCAACCCUGAUCCAGCCAUGCCGCGUGAGUGAAGAAGGCCUUCGGGUUGUAAAGCUCUUUCGGCCGGGAAGAAAUCGCAUGGGUUAAUACCCUGUGCGGAUGACGGUACCGGCAUAAGAAGCACCGGCUAACUACGUG